UUAAGCGGAGGAAAAGAAACUAACAAGGAUUCCCCUAGUAACGGCGAGUGAAGAGGGAAAAGCUCAAAUUUGUAAUCUGGCACCUUCGGUGUCCGAGUUGUAAUCUCUAGAAGUGUUUUCUGCGCUGAACCACAUUCAAGUCCGUUGGAACACGGCGUCAUAGUGGUGAGAACCCAGUAUAUGAUGUGGAUGCUCAGUGCUUUGUGAUACACUUUCGACGAGUCGAGUUGUUUGGGAAUGCAGCUCAAAUUGGGUGGUAAAUUCCAUCUAAAGCUAAAUAUUGGCGAGAGACCGAUAGCGAACAAGUACCGUGAGGGAAAGAUGAAAAGCACUUUGGAAAGAGAGUUAAAAGUACGUGAAAUUGUUGAAAGGGAAACGUUUGAAACUAUACUUGCUUUGCAGUUCGCUGUAUUGCAGGCCAGCAUCAGUUUUUAGGGGCAGAAAAGGGUAUUGAGAAUGUGGCAACCUCGGUUGUGUUAUAGCUCUUUACUGGAUCUGUCCCCGGGGACUGAGGACCGCAGCUUUGCUUAGGAUGUUGGUUUGGUUUUAAACGACCCGUCUUGAAACACG
Molecule: ribosomal RNA, 570 nt
Filed under: Trigonosporomyces hylophilus
Lineage: Eukaryota; Fungi; Basidiomycota; Microbotryomycetes; Chrysozymaceae
Description: eukaryotic LSU rRNA
Rfam family: Eukaryotic large subunit ribosomal RNA
Source: RNAcentral